RNAcentral lists this unclassified non-coding RNA (206 nucleotides) under Hevea brasiliensis (rubber tree). The record is from RNAcentral. Lineage: Eukaryota; Viridiplantae; Streptophyta; Magnoliopsida; Malpighiales; Euphorbiaceae.
AUUUACUUAUGUAAAAUGAUUAAAAUGCAACAUCUAAUAUAUACACGAGUCCUACCAAAAUAAUUGAUGAGGUGACACCGACACUAUAGCAGACCUGAUUAAUCCUCUAUCGGUGCUCUACUGUUACUGCUACUGCUGGUGGUCUCCUGUACCUCGUUGGAGCCAAGUGUGAUCUUGUAAAACUUCAAGCUUCCUGUACUUCGUGG